RNAcentral lists this ribosomal RNA (253 nucleotides) under uncultured bacterium. RNAcentral's name for it is "partial 16S ribosomal RNA". It matches the Rfam family "Bacterial small subunit ribosomal RNA", at positions 524 to 776 of the family's 1533-position model. The record is from RNAcentral.
UACGGAGGGUGCAAGCGUUAUCCGGAUUCACUGGGGUUAAAGGGUGCGUAGGUGGGCUGGUAAGUCAGUGGUGAAAUCUCCAGGCUUAACUUGGAAACUGCCAUUGAUACUAUCAGUCUUGAAUACCGUGGAGGUCAGCGGAAUAUGUCAUGUAGCGGUGAAAUGCUUAGAUAUGACAUAGAACACCAAUUGCGAAGGCAGCUGGCUACACGAAUAUUGACGCUGAGGCUCGAAAGCAUGGGGAGCAAACAGG